RNAcentral lists this ribosomal RNA (394 nucleotides) under uncultured soil bacterium. Its description in RNAcentral is "bacterial SSU rRNA". It matches the Rfam family "Bacterial small subunit ribosomal RNA", at positions 26 to 428 of the family's 1533-position model. The record is from RNAcentral.
AGGACGAACGCUGGCGGCGUGCUUAACACAUGCAAGUCGAGCGGAAAGGCCUUUCGGGGUACUCGAGCGGCGAACGGGUGAGUAACACGUGAGUAAUCUGCCCAUCGCUUCAGGAUAGCCAUCGGAAACGGUGAUUAAUACUGGAUAUGACAUUCCUUCGCAUGUUGGGGUGUGGAAAGUUUUUUCGGCGGUGGAUGUGCUCGCGGCCUAUCAGCUUGUUGGUGGGGUAAUGGCCUACCAAGGCUUUGACGGGUAGCCGGCCUGAGAGGGUGACCGGCCACACUGGGACUGAGACACGGCCCAGACUCCUACGGGAGGCAGCAGUGGGGAAUAUUGGACAAUGGGCGGAAGCCUGAUCCAGCAACGCCGCGUGAGGGAUGACGGCCUGGUGUAA